This 550-nucleotide ribosomal RNA is filed under the name uncultured bacterium. Its description in RNAcentral is "bacterial SSU rRNA". It matches the Rfam family "Bacterial small subunit ribosomal RNA", at positions 36 to 579 of the family's 1533-position model. The record is from RNAcentral.
CUGCGCGGUAUGGCUUUACACAUGCAAGUCGAACGGGCUUUUUGGGGCUUGCUCCAAAGUUAGUGGCGAACGGGUGAGUUACAUAUCGGAACAUGUCCGGAAGUGGGGGAUAACGUAGCGAAAGUUACGCUAAUACCGCAUAUGCCCCGAGGGGGAAAGGGGGGGAUCGCAAGACCUCUCGCUUUCGGAGUGGCCGAUAUCGGAUUAUCUAGUACGUGAGGUAAAGGCUCACCUAGGCGACGAUCCGUAGCUGGUCUGAGAGGACGACCAUCCACACUGGAACUGAGACACGGUCCAGACUCCUACGGGAGGCAGCAGUGGGGAAUUUUGGACAAUGGGCGCAAGCCUGAUCCAGCCAUACCGCGUGAGUGAAGAAGGCCUUCGGGUUGUAAAGCUCUUUCAGCCGGAAAGAAAUUGCUUCUAUUAAUACUAGGAGUAGAUGACGGUACCGGAAGAAGAAGCACCGGCUAACUACGUGCCAGCAGCCGCGGUAAUACGUAGGGUGCGAGCGUUAAUCGGAAUUACUGGGCGUAAAGCGUGCGCAGGCGGU